UCUAAUGCCUUUGGGAAGUUG
This 21-nucleotide non-coding RNA is filed under the name Caenorhabditis elegans. Lineage: Eukaryota; Metazoa; Nematoda; Chromadorea; Rhabditida; Rhabditidae. The record is from RNAcentral.